GACGAACGCUGGCGGCGUGCUUAACACAUGCAAGUCGAACGGAAAGGCCCUGCUUUUGUGGGGUGCUCGAGUGGCGAACGGGUGAGUAACACGUGAGUAACCUGCCCUUGACUUUGGGAUAACUUCAGGAAACUGGGGCUAAUACCGGAUAGGAGCUCCUGCUGCAUGGUGGGGGUUGGAAAGUUUCGGCGGUUGGGGAUGGACUCGCGGCUUAUCAGCUUGUUGGUGGGGUAGUGGCUUACCAAGGCUUUGACGGGUAGCCGGCCUGAAAGGGUGGCCGGCCACAUUGGGACUGAGAUACGGCCCAGACUCCUACGGGAGGCAGCAGUGGGGAAUAUUGCACAAUGGGCGGAAGCCUGAUGCAGCAACGCCGCGUGCGGGAUGACGGCCUUCGGGUUGUAAACCGCUUUCGCCUGUGACGAAGCGUGAGUGACGGUAAUGGGUAAAGAAGCACCGGCUAACUACGUG
RNAcentral lists this ribosomal RNA (468 nucleotides) under uncultured bacterium. Its description in RNAcentral is "partial 16S ribosomal RNA". It matches the Rfam family "Bacterial small subunit ribosomal RNA", at positions 28 to 507 of the family's 1533-position model. The record is from RNAcentral.